This 485-nucleotide ribosomal RNA is filed under the name uncultured bacterium. RNAcentral describes it as "bacterial SSU rRNA". It matches the Rfam family "Bacterial small subunit ribosomal RNA", at positions 28 to 496 of the family's 1533-position model. The record is from RNAcentral.
GAUGAACGCUGGCGGCAUGCCUAAUACAUGCAAGUCGAACGAGAGGAAGGAAAGCUUGCUUUUCUGAAUCUAGUGGCGAACGGGUGAGUAACACGUAGGUAACCUGCCCAUGUGCCCGGGAUAACUUCUGGAAACGGAUGCUAAAACCGGAUAGGUAGCAGACAAGCAUUUGACUGCUAUUAAAGUGGCUAAGGCCAUGAACAUGGAUGGACCUGCGGUGCAUUAGCUAGUUGGUGAGGUAACGGCCCACCAAGGCGACGAUGCAUAGCCGGCCUGAGAGGGCGGACGGCCACAUUGGGACUGAGACACGGCCCAAACUCCUACGGGAGGCAGCAGUAGGGAAUUUUCGUCAAUGGGGGGAACCCUGAACGAGCAAUGCCGCGUGAGUGAGGAAGGUCUUCGGAUCGUAAAGCUCUGUUGUAAGAGAAAAACGACAUUCAUAGGGAAUGAUGAGUGAGUGAUGGUAUCUUACCAGAAAGUCACGG